UUCUCAGCCCUCUGCUCAGAGACCAGGAGGGACACAACAUAAUGGCAACAAUGACAUCAGAGGGAGAAAGUCCUCGUAAAGCAGACUUUCCUCAAUCUGGGGUGCCUUUCAAUUCUGACAGUGAUCCCAGCCUGUCCCCUACUUACCCCUUCUGGUUCUGAUUGUUCCUUCCACCACACUGUCCAAGAAGCAAGUCCAGCCCCUAGAAGCUUGAGUUACAGAAAGACUAACACAAAGAUGCGCACUCGGUGCCCCUUUUCCUCAUAUUGAGGGAAGAAGACUGUGCUGUAUGGACAGGUGAUUCUGAUGCACGUUAACAAGUGAGAACCAUUGGGCUGAAAUGAGAAGGGGACAUAAUCUAAUCUGAUUGGUCACCUUGCUGUGGUGGACACAACGUUGAGGCACAAGAGUAAGUGUCCAGCCUGAACGGUCUCUGAAUAACUGCGUGAACCAGAGAAUGGACAAGCUGAGGACUAGAACAAAUGUUUGAAGAUAGAGUUCCUGGGGCACAGAGAGGCUGUCUCCCCGACAGAGGCUCGCGAGCUCCUCCCUUCCAUCCUCCAUCUGUGUGAGCCUUUCAACAGCUGCUCCCUGCAUUCAUGUCUCCAUCUCGGAGACUAAAAAAGCCUCAGAGAGUUUCUGUGAACUACUUGUAAGAAUUCAUCAAGGGCCAGCAGGCAGUCCUGAAGUUCUGAUAAAUAAAGCAGGUCCAAGGGCAGUUUUAAAGGACAAGAAAGGGAGGCUGGGGGGCCAGUGGUUAGAGGGGACUUAAGAAA
Felis catus (domestic cat) is the source of this 776-nucleotide long non-coding RNA. RefSeq lists it as uncharacterized. The transcript is spliced from 3 exons. The record is from RefSeq and is a predicted model, not a curated record. Lineage: Eukaryota; Metazoa; Chordata; Mammalia; Carnivora; Felidae.